AACGAACUCUGGUAUUGAUUGGUGCUUGCAUCAUGAUUUACAUUUGAGUGAGUGGCGAACUGGUGAGUAACACGUGGGAAACCUGCCCAGAAGCGGGGGAUAACACCUGGAAACAGAUGCUAAUACCGCAUAACAACUUGGACCGCAUGGUCCGAGUUUGAAAGAUGGCUUCGGCUAUCACUUUUGGAUGGUCCCGCGGCGUAUUAGCUAGAUGGUGGGGUAAUGGCUCACCAUGGCAAUGAUACGUAGCCGACCUGAGAGGGUAAUCGGCCACAUUGGGACUGAGACACGGCCCAAACUCCUACGGGAGGCAGCAGUAGGGAAUCUUCCACAAUGGACGAAAGUCUGAUGGAGCAACGCCGCGUGAGUGAAGAAGGGUUUCGGCUCGUAAAACUCUGUUGUUAAAGAAGAACAUAUCUGAGAGUAACUGUUCAGGUAUUGACGGUAUUUAACCAGAAAGCCACGGCUAACUACGUGCCAGCAGCCGCGGUAAUACGUAGGUGGCAAGCGUUGUCCGGAUUUAUUGGGCGUAAAGCGAGCGCAGGCGGUUUUUUAAGUCUGAUGUGAAAGCCUUCGGCUCAACCGAAGAAGUGCAUCGGAAACUGGGAAACUUGAGUGCAGAAGAGGACAGUGGAACUCCAUGUGUAGCGGUGAAAUGCGUAGAUAUAUGGAAGAACACCAGUGGCGAAGGCGGCUGUCUGGUCUGUAACUGACGCUGAGGCUCGAAAGUAUGGGUAGCAAACAGGAUUAGAUACCCUGGUAGUCCAUACCGUAAACGAUGAAUGCUAAGUGUUGGAGGGUUUCCGCCCUUCAGUGCUGCAGCUAACGCAUUAAGCAUUCCGCCUGGGGAGUACGGCCGCAAGGCUGAAACUCAAAGGAAUUGACGGGGGCCCGCACAAGCGGUGGAGCAUGUGGUUUAAUUCGAAGCUACGCGAAGAACCUUACCAGGUCUUGACAUACUAUGCAAAUCUAAGAGAUUAGACGUUCCCUUCGGGGACAUGGAUACAGGUGGUGCAUGGUUGUCGUCAGCUCGUGUCGUGAGAUGUUGGGUUAAGUCCCGCAACGAGCGCAACCCUUAUUAUCAGUUGCCAGCAUUAAGUUGGGCACUCUGGUGAGACUGCCGGUGACAAACCGGAGGAAGGUGGGGAUGACGUCAAAUCAUCAUGCCCCUUAUGACCUGGGCUACACACGUGCUACAAUGGAUGGUACAACGAGUUGCGAACUCGCGAGAGUAAGCUAAUCUCUUAAAGCCAUUCUCAGUUCGGAUUGUAGGCUGCAACUCGCCUACAUGAAGUCGGAAUCGCUAGUAAUCGCGGAUCAGCAUGCCGCGGUGAAUACGUUCCCGGGCCUUGUACACACCGCCCGUCACACCAUGAGAGUUUGUAACACCCAAAGUCGGUGGGGUAACCUUUUAGGAACCAGCC
This 1424-nucleotide ribosomal RNA is filed under the name Lactiplantibacillus pentosus. Its description in RNAcentral is "bacterial SSU rRNA". It matches the Rfam family "Bacterial small subunit ribosomal RNA". The record is from RNAcentral. Lineage: Bacteria; Bacillati; Bacillota; Bacilli; Lactobacillales; Lactobacillaceae.